Long non-coding RNA from Erigeron canadensis, 111 nucleotides. RefSeq lists it as uncharacterized. NCBI's taxonomy places the organism in Eukaryota, Viridiplantae, Streptophyta, Magnoliopsida, Asterales, Asteraceae. The transcript has 3 exons. The record is from RefSeq and is a predicted model, not a curated record.
CGUUCCUUCCCUUGUUUUCACUCCUGUUGCUCAUUGUUGAUUUUGUCAUUGCUCUGUUCCGAGUAGACUUCACUGGAAGAGGAGAACUUGCAGAGCGCCAGUGAUAGCUGA